UCAAAUUAAAUGGUAAACAGAAGGC
RNAcentral lists this non-coding RNA (25 nucleotides) under Mus musculus (house mouse). Lineage: Eukaryota; Metazoa; Chordata; Mammalia; Rodentia; Muridae. The record is from RNAcentral.